AACGACUCUCGGCAACGGAUAUCUCGGCUCUCGCAUCGAUGAAGAACGCAGCGAAAUGCGAUACUUGGUGUGAAUUGCAGAAUCCCGUGAACCAUCGAGUUUUUGAACGCAAGUUGCGCCCGAAGCCUUUCGGCCGAGGGCACGUCUGCCUGGGUGUCACGC
Molecule: ribosomal RNA, 162 nt
Filed under: Croton martinianus
Lineage: Eukaryota; Viridiplantae; Streptophyta; Magnoliopsida; Malpighiales; Euphorbiaceae
Description: 5.8S ribosomal RNA
Rfam family: 5.8S ribosomal RNA
About the family: 5.8S ribosomal RNA (5.8S rRNA) is a component of the large subunit of the eukaryotic ribosome. It is transcribed by RNA polymerase I as part of the 45S precursor that also contains 18S and 28S rRNA. Functionally, it is thought that 5.8S rRNA may be involved in ribosome translocation.
Source: RNAcentral